AACUUUUAACAAUGGAUCUCUUGGUUCUGGCAUCGAUGAAGAACGCAGCGAAAUUCGAUAAGUAAUGCGAAUUGCAGAAUUCCAGUGAGUCAUCGAAUCUUUGAACGCACAUUGCGCCCUUUGGUAUUCCGAAGGGCAUGCCUGUUCGAGCGUCAUUAUCACCCCUCGGGCCCCGUGCUCGGUGUUGGACGUCCGGUUCGGUGACCGAACCCCUCCUAAAGACAAUGACGGCGGCCUGUGGUUCCCCCGGUACACUGAGCCUUUGGCACGUGCCGGACGAGGGCGACCAGGACCGGGUCCUCUCCUCUCAGCAGGAAACUUCUCAAGGUUGACCUCGGAUCAGGUAGGAAUACGCGCUGAACUUAAGCAUAUCAAUAAGCGGAGGCU
This 387-nucleotide unclassified non-coding RNA is filed under the name uncultured Herpotrichiellaceae. RNAcentral describes it as "sequence contains ITS2". The stretch from base 1 to 155 matches the Rfam family "5.8S ribosomal RNA". The record is from RNAcentral. Lineage: Eukaryota; Fungi; Ascomycota; Eurotiomycetes; Chaetothyriales; Herpotrichiellaceae.